This 201-nucleotide unclassified non-coding RNA is filed under the name Hevea brasiliensis (rubber tree). The record is from RNAcentral. Lineage: Eukaryota; Viridiplantae; Streptophyta; Magnoliopsida; Malpighiales; Euphorbiaceae.
AGGUCAGAUGCAGCGGGUUGCGCUUGGCCGUGCGCUCGUCCGAGACCCCGAUGUCUUUCUGCUCGAUGAGCCUCUUUCCAACCUCGACGCCAAGCUGCGCGUGAAGACUCGCGAGGAAAUCGCGACGCUGCAUGCCCGGCUCGGAGCCACGAUGAUUUUCGUGACACACGACCAGGUCGAAGCCAUGACGCUCGGUGACCG